Molecule: ribosomal RNA, 443 nt
Filed under: uncultured bacterium
Lineage: Bacteria
Description: partial 16S ribosomal RNA
Rfam family: Bacterial small subunit ribosomal RNA
Source: RNAcentral
CCUACGGGAGGCUGCAGUGGGGAAUAUUGGGCAAUGGGCGCAAGCCUGACCCAGCAACGCCGCGUGAAGGAAGAAGGCUUUCGGGUUGUAAACUUCUUUUCUCAGGGACGAAGCAAGUGACGGUACCGGAGGAAUAAGCCACGGCUAACUACGUGCCAGCAGCCGCGGUAAUACGUAGGAGGCAAGCGUUAUCCGGAUUUACUGGGUGGAAAGGGCGUGUAGGCGGGAAAGCAAGUCAGAUGUGAAAACCAUGGGCUCAACCUGUGGCCUGCAUUUGAAACUGUUUUUCUGGAGUACUGGAGAGGCAGACGGAAUUCCUAGUGUAGCGGUGAAAUGCGUAGAUAUUAGGAGGAACACCAGUGGCGAAGGCGGUCUGCUGGACAGCAACUGACGCUGAGGCGCGAAAGCGUGGGGAGCAAACAGGAUUAGAUACCCUAGUAGUC